This 68-nucleotide transfer RNA is filed under the name Scirtothrips dorsalis. RNAcentral describes it as "tRNA-Trp". The record is from RNAcentral. Lineage: Eukaryota; Metazoa; Arthropoda; Insecta; Thysanoptera; Thripidae.
UGAAACUUUAAGUUAAAGCAAACUAUUAAUUUUCAAAAUUAAAAAUAAAUUUAUUAAUUAAGUUUCAA